This 424-nucleotide ribosomal RNA is filed under the name uncultured bacterium. RNAcentral's name for it is "bacterial SSU rRNA". It matches the Rfam family "Bacterial small subunit ribosomal RNA", at positions 356 to 772 of the family's 1533-position model. The record is from RNAcentral.
GGGGAAUUUUGGACAAUGGGGGCAACCCUGAUCCAGCCAUUCCGCGUGAGUGAAGAAGGCCUUCGGGUUGUAAAGCUCUUUUGUCCGGAACGAAACGGUUACAGCGAAUACCUGUGACUACUGACGGUACCGGAAGCAUAAGCCCCGGCUAACUUCGUGCCAGCAGCCGCGGUAAGACGAAGGGGGCUAGCGUUGUUCGGAAUUACUGGGCGUAACGCGCGUGUAGGCGGUUGCCAAAGUCGGGUGUGAAAGCCUUGAGCUCAACUCAAGAAAUGCACUCGAUACUUGGUGACUAGAGGACCGGAGAGGAUAGUGGAAUUCCCAGUGUAGUGGUGAAAUACGUAGAGAUUGGGAAGAACACCAGUGGCGAAGGCGGCUAUCUGGACGGUUUCUGACGCUAAGACGCGAAAGCGUGGGGAGCAAA